Molecule: unclassified non-coding RNA, 343 nt
Filed under: soil metagenome
Description: partial contains 5.8S ribosomal RNA, internal transcribed spacer 2, and large subunit ribosomal RNA
Rfam family: 5.8S ribosomal RNA (bases 1-120)
Source: RNAcentral
GAUGAAGAACGUAGCGAAAUGCGAUAAGUAAUGUGAAUUGCAGAAUUCAGUGAAUCAUCGAAUCUUUGAACGCACAUUGCGCCCGCCAGCAUUCUGGCGGGCAUGCCUGUUCGAUCGUCAUUUCAACCCUCGAGCCCCCCCGGGGGCCUCGGUGUUGGGGGACGGCACACCAGCCGCCCCCGAAAUGCAGUGGCGACCCCGCCGCAGCCUCCCCUGCGUAGUAGCACACACCUCGCACCGGAGCGCGGAGGCGGUCACGCCGUAAAACGCCCAACUUUCUUAGAGUUGACCUCGGAUCAGGUAGGAAUACCCGCUGAACUUAAGCAUAUCAAUAAGCGGAGGA